This is a non-coding RNA of Negativicoccus succinicivorans DORA_17_25, 72 nucleotides long. The record is from Rfam. NCBI's taxonomy places the organism in Bacteria, Bacillati, Bacillota, Negativicutes, Veillonellales, Veillonellaceae.
GGGCCUAUAGCUCAGGGGUAGAGCAGCCGGCUCAUAACCGGUCGGUCCCUGGUUCGAUCCCAGGUGGGCCCA